GACGAACGCUGGCGGCGUGCUUAACACAUGCAAGUCGAACGGAAAGGCCCUGCUUUUGUGGGGUGCUCGAGUGGCGAACGGGUGAGUAACACGUGAGUAACCUGCCCUUGACUUUGGGAUAACUUCAGGAAACUGGGGCUAAUACCGGAUCGGAGCUCCUGCUGCAUGGAGGGGGUUGGAAAGUUUCGGCGGUUGGGGAUGGACUAGCGGCUUAUCAGCUUGUUGGUGGGGUAGUGGCUUACCAAGGGUUUGACGGGUAGCCGGCCUGAGAGGGUGACCGGCCACAUUGGUACUGAGAUACGGCCCAGACGCCUACGGGAGGCAGCAGUGGGGAAUAUUGCACAAUGGGCGGAAGCCUGAUGCAGCAACGCCGCGUGCGGGAUGACGGCCUUCUGGUUGUGAACCGCUUUCGCCUGUGACGAAGCGUUAGUGACGGUAAUGGGUAAAGAAGCACCGGCUAACUACGUG
RNAcentral lists this ribosomal RNA (468 nucleotides) under uncultured bacterium. RNAcentral's name for it is "partial 16S ribosomal RNA". It matches the Rfam family "Bacterial small subunit ribosomal RNA", at positions 28 to 507 of the family's 1533-position model. The record is from RNAcentral.